Molecule: ribosomal RNA, 468 nt
Filed under: uncultured bacterium
Lineage: Bacteria
Description: partial 16S ribosomal RNA
Rfam family: Bacterial small subunit ribosomal RNA
Source: RNAcentral
GACGAACGCUGGCGGCGUGCUUAACACAUGCAAGUCGAACGGAAAGGCCCUGCUUUUGUGGGGUGCUCGAGUGGCGAACGGGUGAGUAACACGUGAGUAACCUGCCCUUGACUUUGGGUUAACUUCAGGAAACUGGGGCUAAUACCGGAUAGGAGCUCCUGCUGCAUGGUGGGGGUUGGAAAGUUUCGGCGGUUGGGGAUGGACUCGCGGCUUAUCAGCUUGUUGGUGGGGUAGUGGCUUACCAAGGCUUUGACGGGUAGCCGGCCUGAGAGGGUGACCGGCCACAUUGGGACUGAGAUACGGCCCAGACUCCUACGGGAGGCAGCAGUGGGGAAUAUUGCACAAUGGGCGGAAGCCUGAGGCAGCAACGCCGCGUGCGGGAUGACGGCCUUCGGGUUGUAAACCGCUUUCGCCUGUGACGAAGCGUGAGUGACGGUAAUGGGUAAAGAAGCACCGGCUAACUACGUG